RNAcentral lists this microRNA (22 nucleotides) under Sarcophilus harrisii (Tasmanian devil). Its description in RNAcentral is "Sha-Mir-7371-o20_5p (mature (co-guide))". Lineage: Eukaryota; Metazoa; Chordata; Mammalia; Dasyuromorphia; Dasyuridae. The record is from RNAcentral.
CUCUGAUAAGGCAUUCUAUUUU